Molecule: long non-coding RNA, 463 nt
Filed under: Nicotiana benthamiana
Lineage: Eukaryota; Viridiplantae; Streptophyta; Magnoliopsida; Solanales; Solanaceae
Description: long non-coding RNA (NBEN_LNC040621)
Source: RNAcentral
UUUAUUUGUGUGGACGUUGAAAGACAUAGAGUCUGGAUUAAACUGAGAAAGGGACUAGACUUGUCUCUGUUUCUCAUCAUUGAGGACCAUAUUGUAGACACUGUCAAGGGUAAGAGGAGGCUGCAUCAUCAGUAGGUUACUCCUUACACCCAUGUAAGCUUCAUUAAGGCCCAUGAGGAACUGAAACACCUUAUUCUUAUCAUCUUCCUGUAUGAUGCCAUUUCUGGCAGGACAAAUGCAUCUUUGUCCAUGGUUUGUACACAUUGUUCCUAAUUCAUCCCACAGUCCUUUAAGUUUGUUAAAAUAUGAGGCUACAUCUAGAUAUCCUUGAGAAGUAUGAGAGAGUUCUCUUUUUAGUUCAAAAAUUUUGGUUCUGUUAGCAGUACCAUAUCUAGCUGCGAGUUGUGCCCAUAUGCUCUGUGCAGUAUCAAAAUACUGCACACUCUCAGCUAUCUGAGGGGAU